This 421-nucleotide ribosomal RNA is filed under the name uncultured bacterium. RNAcentral describes it as "bacterial SSU rRNA". It matches the Rfam family "Bacterial small subunit ribosomal RNA", at positions 355 to 774 of the family's 1533-position model. The record is from RNAcentral.
UAAGGAAUAUUGGUCAAUGGACGCAAGUCUGAACCAGCCAUGCCGCGUGAAGGAUGAAGGUCCUCUGGAUUGUAAACUUCUUUUAUCUGGGACGAAAACGGGAUUUUUAUCUCAAUUGACGGUACCCGCAGAAUAAGCCCCGGCUAACUUCGUGCCAGCAGCCGCGGUAAGACGAAGGGGGCAAGCGUUGUUCGGAAUUACUGGGCGUAAAGGGCGCGUAGGCGGUCCGAUCAGUCAGGCGUGAAAGCCCUGGGCUUAACCUGGGAGGUGCGCUUGAUACUGUUGGGCUUGAGUGUGGGAGAGNAUGGUGGAAUUCCCAGUGUAGAGGUGAAAUUCGUAGAUAUUGGGAAGAACACCGGUGGCGAAGGCGGCCAUCUGGACCACAACUGACGCUGAGGCGCGAAAGCGUGGGGAGCAAACA